This is a long non-coding RNA of Tachyglossus aculeatus (Australian echidna), 678 nucleotides long. RefSeq lists it as uncharacterized. NCBI's taxonomy places the organism in Eukaryota, Metazoa, Chordata, Mammalia, Monotremata, Tachyglossidae. The transcript has 5 exons. The record is from RefSeq and is a predicted model, not a curated record.
UUGAAUCGUAUACCCAGUAAUGGCAGCAUUUCCAUCAUCUUUUGGUGGAGUCCAUGUUAAGGCAACAUUUUCUCCCCAGACAUCUUCAAUCUUCACCACCUGGGGUGGACCUGGACGGUCUGUCACAAAAGAGUUUGGUCAGAAGUUCACAUCCCUAAAUCCAAGGCUGACUGUGCCUUUGUGGAUAAGCAGUGUUAGAGUUGCGUGGUCAAUCACAGGCUAUUUCCAGAAAUCUAAAUCAUAAUGGAUUUAAACCUAUCAGAAAGAAAAAAGUAAAGAAUUUGCUCCAUUUCAAACACACACCAGACUUGUGGUCAGAAGCCCACAAAAUAUUUAAGACUGGAAAAUUAGGAUUGGCAUUAUCAUAAACAGAAUGAGUACCUCCUAUGAAAAGAGCCUGCCAAUUUCAAUAGCUGAAAUACAGCAUUCUUUAUUGUAGUAGUUGGAGGGAAAGGCAGAUGAAGCUUAAUUGAGGAAGCCCAACUAGAGACAUAUAGGACUGCUGAAAUCAUAACCUGUGGAAUCCAGGACUGAACUUUAUUGAGCUAGACCAGAUUAUGAUCAUCUGCCACUUGAUGACAGCAAAGCCAAAUACACAUCUAUUCUCCUGAUGACAUCUCAAAUUGACCAUCCAACACAUAAAUGAGCUAAAUCAAAUGAAAACAAAUGUGGUUGAAU